AACGAACGCUGGCGGCGCGCCUAAUACAUGCAAGUCGAGCGAGAAGACGUAGCAAUACGUUUGUAAAGCGGCGAACGGGUGAGGAAUACAUGGGUAACCUACCCUCGAGUGGGGAAUAACUAGCCGAAGGUUAGCUAAUACCGCGUACGCUCCUUGGACUUCGGUUCAGGGAGGAAAGCGAUACCGUGGGUAUCGCGCUCUUGGAUGGGCUCAUGUCCUAUCAGCUUGUUGGUGAGGUAACGGCUCACCAAGGCUUCGACGGGUAGCUGGUCUGAGAGGACGAUCAGCCACACUGGCACUGCGACACGGGCCAGACUCCUACGGAGGCAGCAGUAAGGAAUAUUGCGCAAUGGGCGAAAGCCUGACGCAGCGACGCCGCGUGGGGGAUGAAGGUCUUCGGAUUGUAAACCCCUUU
RNAcentral lists this ribosomal RNA (415 nucleotides) under uncultured bacterium. Its description in RNAcentral is "bacterial SSU rRNA". It matches the Rfam family "Bacterial small subunit ribosomal RNA", at positions 29 to 436 of the family's 1533-position model. The record is from RNAcentral.